AUUGAACGCUGGCGGCACGCCUUACACAUGCAAGUCGAACGGCAGCACGGGGGCAACCCUGGUGGCGAGUGGCGAACGGGUGAGUAACACAUCGGAACGUACCCGGUGGUGGGGGAUAGCCCGGCGAAAGCCGGAUUAAUACCGCAUACGACCUACGGGUGAAAGCGGGGGAUCGUAAGACCUCGCGCUAUCGGAGCGGCCGAUGUCAGAUUAGGUUGUUGGUGGGGCAAAGGCCUACCAAGCCGANGAUCUGUAGCUGGUCUGAGAGGACGACCAGCCACACUGGGACUGAGACACGGCCCAGACUCCUACGGGAGGCAGCAGUGGGGAAUUUUGGACAAUGGGCGCAAGCCUGAUCCAGCCAUGCCGCGUGCGGGAAGAAGGCCCUCGGGUUGUAAACCGCUUUU
Molecule: ribosomal RNA, 407 nt
Filed under: uncultured bacterium
Lineage: Bacteria
Description: bacterial SSU rRNA
Rfam family: Bacterial small subunit ribosomal RNA
Source: RNAcentral